This is a long non-coding RNA of Phyllostomus discolor (pale spear-nosed bat), 997 nucleotides long. RefSeq lists it as uncharacterized. The record is from RefSeq and is a predicted model, not a curated record. The transcript has 3 exons. Lineage: Eukaryota; Metazoa; Chordata; Mammalia; Chiroptera; Phyllostomidae.
UAUAGCCUAGGCACAACAAUAGGGAUAUAUGGAUGACUAAGAUCCAGUGUUCAAUGUACAGAAGCUGAGAGAAAAAGCAGAAAAAAAUGCUGUUAAAAUAUACACAUCUUUUGAGCAAAAUGUCCUGUAUCUAAUCCUGAAUGGUGAUUGCCAAGCACACACCUGUCACGAACUGCUGAUGUCAGUGAGGUGCCGCAGUGAGAGAUACUGAACUACAACACUGGAAAUGCUGAUUGUAACACUGAUGAACUCAAACACGGUUUGAGAAGCAACCAAACACAGUCCUAUGUGAAGAUGAAGAGCUGAACAAAUCUCUGCAGGAAUUCAGCUCAGUAAGAAAGACAUAAGUAAAAGAUAAUUGCAAUAUAAAGUAAGUAAGUGCUAUUAAUCAUUAAAAGAGAGCGCUGUGGGUCAUUCACAUUUUUUACUGUGGUUCAUUACAUUUUUUUUUGGAGAGUAGCCACCCAGAUGUAAUAUUUCUCUACUAACCAGAAUACUUGAUUAACCAAAUUGUACAAUUUCCUGACCAUACCUGAGUAACAGUUUAUUUUACAAGUUAUAAACAUAUCAUUAAAAAAAAUCUCAAUAUCUACCACAGGGGAAAACUGCAAUUGUUCUUUUCUAUAGUUAAUGGCUAAUUUAUUUUAUCUUGCUUAAGCAUUUUAUGAUCCUUUUUAAUUUCCAGGAAUUUAGAGGCCCCUUCUGAUUUUAGAAUGGAGAAAAGAGGAUUUAUUUCCAUGUGGCACUGGUUUUUCCCAUAGAUGGUGGUGAUAUUUUACUAAAAUAAAAAGAGCAGACAUCAGUAAUGAUUCCCUAGCUGUUUAACUGGAAAAUGAGAACUAAUUAAUAGGUAUGGGUCAAAACAGUAUUGGCAAAAGCAGUCACAGAAUUAAAAUGGCUCAAAUCAUAAUUUCCAAUGAACUAGUGAAUAUUUCUUUACUUGAUAGUAGCGUAAAAUGAUCUCCACAAAAUUUGCUAGGCUCACAUCUCUUUGGGU